This 305-nucleotide ribosomal RNA is filed under the name uncultured bacterium. Its description in RNAcentral is "bacterial SSU rRNA". It matches the Rfam family "Bacterial small subunit ribosomal RNA", at positions 335 to 632 of the family's 1533-position model. The record is from RNAcentral.
CUUCCUACGGGGGGCAGCAGUUAGGAAUAUUCGUCAAUGGGGGAAACCCUGAACGAGCAAUGCCGCGUGAACGAUGACGGUCCUCUGGAUUGUAAAGUUCUGUUGUUUGGGAAGAACGGCUCUAAUAGGAAAUGAUUAGAGAUUGACUGUACCAUUCAAGAAAGCCACGGCUAACUACGUGCCAGCAGCCGCGGUAAUACGGAGGAUGCGAGCGUUAUCCGGAUUUAUUGGGUUUAAAGGGUGCGUAGGCGGAUCGUUAAGUCAGUGGUCAAAUUGAGGGGCUCAACCCCUUCCCGCCAUUGAAA